AACGAACGCUGGCGGCAGGCUUAACACAUGCAAGUCGAACGCCCCGCAAGGGGAGUGGCCGCCGGGUGAGUAACGCGUGGGAACAUACCCUUUCCUGCGGAAUAGCUCCGGGAAACUGGAAUUAAUACCGCAUACGCCCUACGGGGGAAAGAUUUAUCGGGGAAGGAUUGGCUCGCGUUGGAUUAGCUAGUUGGUGGGGUAAAGGCCUACCAAGGCGACGAUCCAUAGCUGGUCUGAGAGGAUGAUCAGCCACAUUGGGACUGAGACACGGCCCAAACUCCUACGGGAGGCAGCAGUGGGGAAUAUUGGACAAUGGGCGCAAGCCUGAUCCAGCCAUGCCGCGUGAGUGAUGAAGGCCUUAGGGUUGUAAAGCUCUUUCACCGAUGAAGAUAAUGACGGUAGUCGGAGAAGAAGCCCCGGCUAACUUCGUG
RNAcentral lists this ribosomal RNA (431 nucleotides) under uncultured bacterium. Its description in RNAcentral is "partial 16S ribosomal RNA". It matches the Rfam family "Bacterial small subunit ribosomal RNA", at positions 29 to 507 of the family's 1533-position model. The record is from RNAcentral.